This 63-nucleotide transfer RNA is filed under the name Conderis sp. UPOL A00606. RNAcentral describes it as "tRNA-Phe". Lineage: Eukaryota; Metazoa; Arthropoda; Insecta; Coleoptera; Lycidae. The record is from RNAcentral.
UUUUAAUAGCUUAUUUAGAGUAUGAUAUUGAAGAUAUCAGGGAGGCUUUUAGCCUUAAAAUAU